GCGAGGUUUAGCAAAUCUCUUAAAGCCGUUCUCAGUUCGGAUUGUAGGCUGCAACUCGCCUACAUGAAGUCGGAAUCGCUAGUAAUCGCGGAUCAGCAUGCCGCGGUGAAUACGUUCCCGGGCCUUGUACACACCGCCCGUCACACCAUGAGAGUUUGUAACACCCAAAGCCGGUGGGGUAACCUUUUGGAGCCAGCCGUCUAAGGUGGGACAGAUGAUUAGGGUGAAGUCGUAACAAGGUAUC
RNAcentral lists this ribosomal RNA (244 nucleotides) under uncultured bacterium. Its description in RNAcentral is "partial 16S ribosomal RNA". It matches the Rfam family "Bacterial small subunit ribosomal RNA", at positions 1257 to 1500 of the family's 1533-position model. The record is from RNAcentral.